This 263-nucleotide unclassified non-coding RNA is filed under the name plant metagenome. RNAcentral describes it as "partial contains small subunit ribosomal RNA, internal transcribed spacer 1, and 5.8S ribosomal RNA". The record is from RNAcentral.
UUUCCGUAGGUGAACCUGCGGAAGGAUCAUUACUGCAUAACCGAGGUGCGAGGGCUGUCGCUGACCCGAAAGGUCGUGCACGCCCGAGUGCCCUCACACACAUCCAUCUCACCCCUAUGUGCACCACCGCGUGGGUCCCCCUUUGGCUUGUUCGGAGGGGGGCUUACGUUUUCACACAAACUUUGUAUGCAGUGUAGAAUGUAUUUUUUGUUUUUGCGAUCACGCAAUCAAUACAACUUUCAACAACGGAUCUCUUGGCUCUC